RNAcentral lists this ribosomal RNA (1123 nucleotides) under uncultured organism. RNAcentral describes it as "bacterial SSU rRNA". It matches the Rfam family "Bacterial small subunit ribosomal RNA", at positions 199 to 1353 of the family's 1533-position model. The record is from RNAcentral.
GAGUAAAGAUUUCGGUCGCUUUGGGAGGAGCUCGCUUACUAUCAGCUUGUUGGUAGGGUAAUGGCCUACCAAGGCUAUGACGGUUAGGGGGUGUGAGAGCAUGACCCCCAGCAUUGGCACUGAAACACUGGCCAAACACCUACGGGUGGCUGCAGUCGAGAAUCUUCCACAAUGGGGGAAACCCUGAUGGAGCGAUGCUGCGUGCGGGAUGAAGGCCUUCGGGUUGUAAACCGCUUUCGUACGGGACGAAAUUUUUGACGGUACCCUUUCGACUAAGAGGUUGCUAACUCUGUGCCAGCAGCAGCGGUAAUACAGAGACCUCAAGCGUUAUCCGGAUUUACUGGGCGUAAAGCGUCUUUAGGGGGUUUAUUAAGUUCCAAGUAAAAUUUCAAGGCUCAACUUUGAAUUCGCUUGGAAAACUAAUAAACUGGAGUCUAGCAGAGGUGCAUGGAACUCGUGGUGUAGGAGUGAAAUCCGUUGAUAUCACAAGGAACACCAAAGGCGAAGGCAUUGCACUGGGCUAGCACUGACCCUGAGAGACGAAAGCGUGGGGAGCAAAACGGAUUAGAUACCCGUGUAGUCCACGCCCUAAACGAUGAAUGCUAAAUGUUCGGGGAUUCGACCCCCUGGGUGUUACAGCUAACGCGUUAAGCAUUCCGCCUGGGAAGUACGGCCGCAAGGCUAAAACUCAAAGGAAUAGACGGGGAUCCGCACAAGCGGUGGAGCGUCUGGUUUAAUUCGACAGUAAGCGUGGUACCUCACCAGGGUUUGACAUCCCUUGACAGCCUUGGAAACAAGGUUUCCUUCGGGCAAGGUGACAGGUGCUGCAUGGUCGUCGUCAGUUCGUGCCGUGAGGUGUUCCGUUAAGUCGGGAAACGAACGAAACCCCUAUUGCAUGUUACAAUUUCUCAUGCAAGACUGCCCGCAUAUACUGGGAGGAAGGUGGGGAUGACGUCAGAUCUGCAUGGUCCUUAUACCCUGGGCGACACAGGCGCUACAAUGGCAGAGACAAAGGGUUGCAAAACCGCAAGGUGAAGCUAAUCCCAAAAACUUUGUCUAAGUUCGGAUUGAAGGCUGCAAUUCGCCUUCAUGAAGCUGGAAUCGCUAGUAAUCGCGAAUCAGC